RNAcentral lists this ribosomal RNA (249 nucleotides) under Triticum aestivum (bread wheat). RNAcentral describes it as "partial small subunit ribosomal RNA". Lineage: Eukaryota; Viridiplantae; Streptophyta; Magnoliopsida; Poales; Poaceae. The record is from RNAcentral.
AUGGCGGCACAGGAGAGCGGCAAGAGUGCAGGAGUGCGCCGCUUCCUUGGAAUCCGGCAGAGGCCGUCGGGCCGGUGGGUGGCCGAGAAAAAGGACUCGGUGCAGCGCGUACGCCUGUCGCUGCGCACCUUCGACACCGUCGAGGACGCAGCAUGCGCCUGCCACAAGGCGGCACGCCGCACCAACUUCGCUGCACGGCACGGCGCCGCAGCCAGGCUGAGCGGGAGGAGGCGCCGCCGCCGUCGGUAA